UAGGGCCAACCACCACCAUGACCAGUAUAUAUGGUAUUGGAAAUGAGGCUGGGAAGGGUCUGGGUACACCAGCCAAGCCAGUUCCAGUUCUCCUGUCUCCACCUCACAUCUCACAGCUGCUCCCAGCUUUGCAUGGGUUUAGGGUAUUCAAACUCAGGUCCUCACACCUGCACAUCUGAGCCGCCUUCUCCAGCCCACGUAUAAAACUACGCAAGGCACAGCCUGCUGCUCCAGCUCUUGGCAGAUGCUGAAACAGACAGGCUCACUGUGUCCAGGAGUGAAGACUGGCCUGCAUACCACAGUAAGUUUCACCUCAAAACCAAACAACAAUGCUGUUAUUGGAAUUUGGAAGAAAUUGAUUCCUCUCUCUUACUGGCUUAAAAGUUAUGAAUCUUCAGUGACAGAACACCAAUAUACCUAAGACUGUGAGGCCUACAGUCUUUUCACAUAGUGUAAAUGCUGGUAGAAAAAUGACUGCAUCAUCAGCUUCCUAGAACUUCACAAUUCAUAUCCACAUAUUCUGGGAGAAUUAAGUACGUUUAAAUGACAUUUAAUAAAGUCAUUAAACCUC
This is a long non-coding RNA of Peromyscus eremicus (cactus mouse), 571 nucleotides long. RefSeq lists it as uncharacterized. The transcript is spliced from 3 exons. Lineage: Eukaryota; Metazoa; Chordata; Mammalia; Rodentia; Cricetidae. The record is from RefSeq and is a predicted model, not a curated record.